UAGGGAAUAUUGGGCAAUGGAGGCAACUCUGACCCAGCAACGCCGCGUGAAUGAAGAAGGUUUUAGGAUUGUAAAGUUCUGUUCUUAGGGAAGAAAAAAAUGACGGUACCUAAGGAGAAAGCCCCGGCAAACUACGUGCCAGCAGCCGCGGUAAUACGUAGGGGGCAAGCGUUGUCCGGAAUAACUGGGCGUAAAGGGAGUGUAGACGGCCUUUUAAGUUAAAUGUGAAAGCCCCAGGCUCAACCUGGGAACUGCAUUUAAUACUGGGAGGCUAGAGUGCAGGAGAGGAGAGUGGAAUUCCAAGUGUAGCGGUAGAAUGCGUAGAUAUUUGGAGGAACAUCAGAGGCGAAGGCGGCUCUCUGGACUGUAACUGACGUUGAGACUCGAAAGCGUGGGGAGCAAACA
RNAcentral lists this ribosomal RNA (405 nucleotides) under uncultured Bacillota bacterium. RNAcentral describes it as "uncultured Firmicutes bacterium partial 16S ribosomal RNA". It matches the Rfam family "Bacterial small subunit ribosomal RNA", at positions 355 to 774 of the family's 1533-position model. The record is from RNAcentral. Lineage: Bacteria; Bacillati; Bacillota.